UGGACCGAGCUUGUGAGUGGUGAACUGUCUUCGGUGGGAUCUCCGGCUCUUGGGAAAGGAGCUAUAUUUAAUUUAGUACUCCAACCAUAACACGUUGAAUAUAACAACCUACCAACUAUUGUUACUCCUGUCCAAAUUAAGGUGGUUUUGCGCCGUGUUUACACAUCAAAUGACGAGCAGAAAAAAAUGAAAACAGAGAUAAUCAAUUUCAUGGGUAUUGAAAUCUCCAUCGGCUCAGGAGAAUCACGCGCUGUAUAUUACCGGCGGGACAAGAAGGAAAGGCGGUUUCGUCUGAUACACAACGUACAAUUGAUCCGAACGUAUAUUAUACACUGCUCACGAACGGGGAAGCAAGUCUUGAGGGCCGUCCCCGCGAGGAGCAACCGGUGCCGGUUUAUUUCCGAUCGAAUGUUUUUGUCCAACCGUCGCAAACCUAAUUGGAUUCGCUACGAAUCACCA
Molecule: long non-coding RNA, 459 nt
Organism: Eufriesea mexicana
Lineage: Eukaryota; Metazoa; Arthropoda; Insecta; Hymenoptera; Apidae
Exons: 3
Source: RefSeq, a predicted model, not a curated record